UCUUCGUCGUCCUCUCAAGGGUAUUUAAGAAAUUUUGUUUAGAGAUAUUCUUAGUUUGACCUGGAAAACCUGCGGUGCUUUGAUAGUCAUCUCCCUCCUUUGCAGACACGUGGUUUAUAGAUUACCUGCGAUCUCCUGCUUCCGCCAGCGUCUUCCCCGUUGAUUUGUAGAUAACUAUCUCGAAGCGUGUUUGAUGAUUCCCCUCGUUGUUGAAGAAUGGAUUUUGAGUCAAAGUUCUAUAAAGUUACACGAAGGUUAAUUUUACAGAGACAGAGGCUAUUUCGAAUUCCCUAGGUAAUCUUACUGAUGCUCUAUCUCUUCUCAUUUUUCUCUUCUCUUGUCAUUUUACCUUUGAAGUGUGUCUAUUUAUGUCUGGUUGGGUUCAAAUUUGAUCAUUGGAAGGUUGUGGUGUUAUCGGUGGCUGAAAAGGGGAAAUAGAGUGCUUCUUCCAUGUCAGUAGGCUGAUCCCCCUUAACUAUCCAAAAUUCGUGAAGAAGAUAUUAUUGGCGUCACAGUAUUGCUAUUAACAUUAUCCUAUGCGGGGCAAGAAUUUAUUCGAGUAGGAUAUUAUGUGAACAAUGAUUACGAUGAUGAACAAUUAAAAGAGGAACCACCUCAGAAGGUUUUGCUUGAUAGGGUCCAGAGGAAUAUUUUGGCUGACAAACCCCAAGUCACGAAAUUCCCCAAUGAUUUCCAUCCAGAAAACAAUGAAAAUUGAGAACAGGCUCCUGCCUCUCCUGACCAUGCCACAGAAGUCAAUGUGCAUGUAGAAGAACCAAUUUUUUCACCCAAUCAAUGUUUAGUGCAGUGUCCUCAAACCUGAGAAACAAGAAGCAAGUUGCAUUGGCUGUCAAAAGUUUUCUUUCAGAGUUUGAUAUUUUGAUGAUUUCUUAUACCAAUUUGGUGUUAUGGUCUCAAAAUCUACACUGCCUAAAUGGUAUUUUUAACUUAUGCCUUGAAAUGUAUACAUGAAAUGUUGUAUCUGCUGGAGUUGUAGAUGAGAUAAAUCAUUCUUAAAUUAAAUGCUGAUUUGCAAACAAGAAUUUGAUCACA
Molecule: long non-coding RNA, 1053 nt
Organism: Nicotiana attenuata
Lineage: Eukaryota; Viridiplantae; Streptophyta; Magnoliopsida; Solanales; Solanaceae
Exons: 2
Source: RefSeq, a predicted model, not a curated record